RNAcentral lists this ribosomal RNA (451 nucleotides) under uncultured Fibrobacter sp. Its description in RNAcentral is "partial 16S ribosomal RNA". It matches the Rfam family "Bacterial small subunit ribosomal RNA", at positions 341 to 792 of the family's 1533-position model. Lineage: Bacteria; Pseudomonadati; Fibrobacterota; Fibrobacteria; Fibrobacterales; Fibrobacteraceae. The record is from RNAcentral.
ACGGAAGGCAGCAGUAGGGAAUAUUGCACAAUGGGGGGAACCCUGAUGCAGCAACGCCACGUGUGGGAAGAAGCAUUUCGGUGUGUAAACCACUGUCGUGAGGGAAUAAUGCUUGGCUCCGGCCAAGUUGAAUGUACCUCGAAAGGAAGCACCGGCAAACUUCGUGCCAGCAGCCGCGGUAAUACGAGGGGUGCAAGCGUUGUUCGGAAUCACUGGGCGUAAAGGGAGCGCAGGCGGAAGUGCAAGCGGUCUGUACAAUCCCUGGGCUCAACCCCGGACCUGCAGACCGGACUGCAUUUCUUGGAUAGUUCAGGGGCAAGCGGAAUUCCUGGUGUAGCGGUGGAAUGCGUAGAGAUCAGGAAGAACACCGGUGGCGAAGGCAGCUUGCUGGGGACUUAUCGACGCUCAUGCUCGAAAGUGCGGGUAGCAAACAGGAUUAGAUACCCUGGUA